This 1489-nucleotide long non-coding RNA is filed under the name Salmo salar (Atlantic salmon). RNAcentral describes it as "lncRNA (ENSSSAG00000091839.1)". The record is from RNAcentral. Lineage: Eukaryota; Metazoa; Chordata; Actinopteri; Salmoniformes; Salmonidae.
AGGAACGUGAAGUGAGGCGGCCAUCUCUGUCGGCGCCGGAAGUAUUAAGGAGGUCCAUUGGGAGGUGGCUGCUGAGUUUGCUGCAUUGUGUGUUUGUUUGUUUGAGAGCGGUCCAGGAAUCUCCUAGAUGGAAUCCUGACAAUGGACAAGCAUUUACACAUGAAAGGAAAGGAUGGAGAGAAGGAGCGAGAAGGAGGGAGAGAAGGAGCAGAGGGAGGUGGAGAGUGCUCUACCAUUCCUCUCUGUUACCAUGGGGAUCAACUUGAUGCCACUCCAGGCUUGCCAUUGGCUGGAGAGGGUUCCAUUUGAUUUUGACUUUCCACGCUUUCUAAGGGAAGGAUGGACAGACUACUUCAACUCUCUCAGACGCCCCCCGUGGGAAUCAAACCCUGGCGUUGCACACACCAUGCUGGCGUUGCAAACACCAUGCUCUACCAACUGAGCCACAGGGAAGGCCAACUGAGCCACAGAUGGACUCCAAUCUCAAGAAUGAUCAAUGGAAACAGGAGGCACCUGAGCAAAUGUUUUUGUCUCAUAGCAAAGGGGCUGAAUACUUAUGUGAAUAAGGUAUUUCUGUUUCAAUUUUUUUAUACAUUUGCAAAAAAAAAUACAAAAAAACAUUUUUGCUUUCUCGUUAUGGGGUAUUGAUGGGGGUGGUAUUAAAUAUUUAAUCCAUUUUAGAAUAAGGCUGUAAUGUAACAAAAUGUGGAAAAAGUCAAGUGGUCUGAAUUCUUUCCAAAGGCACUGUAUAUACAUUAUUUAUUAUUAUUAUAAUUUAUAGACAGAUAGAAAAGCUCAUCCAUGUGAAGGAAGGGCAAUGUGCAGUAGAGCUCAGCCACACAUUCAAACCUGCUAACAGCCACACAUUCAAACAUGCUAACAGCCACACAUUCAAACCUGCUAACAGCCACACAUUCAAACCUGCUAACAGCCACACAUUCAAACCUGCUAACAGCCACACAUUCAAACCUGCUAACAGCCACACAUUCAAACCUGCUAACAGCCACACAUUCAAACCUGCUAACAGCCACACAUUCAAACCUGCUAACAGCCACACAUUCAAUUGGAUCUGAAAAGAGGCAGCCACAUGUUCAGCUUCUACAGGACAUUGAAUAGCCAUCAGUAACUUAGUAAAAUCUUGACCUAUUUGCUGAACUUGCGUCAGUGGGAAUAGCUGAUGUUGUAUUCAGCAGUCAGUCAGUGUGAGUGAGACAGCUUACAGACACUGUCUGCGCCCUCUAUGCCUCUUCACUGUGUCCAACACCCCAACAUGACCUAGAGAAAGAAACACAUGUAAAUCACUAACGCAUCAUACACAAAGGGCAUACAGACUGUGUGAAUGACUGUGAAUUACAGAGUUAUGUCUUUGUCGUAGGGAUAUUCAGAAUAUUUCUUCUCAUAAAAUCUUCUCAUCACCUUUCUUCCUCUCUCGUUCUCUCUUAAUAACCUGUAGAUAGUCCAGUUCAUCAACACAUACUAUUGAAUGGAA